UAGGGAAUCUUCGGCAAUGGACGAAAGUCUGACCGAGCAACGCCGCGUGAGUGAAGAAGGUUUUCGGAUCGUAAAACUCUGUUGUUAGAGAAGAACAAGGACGUUAGUAACUGAACGUCCCCUGACGGUAUCUAACCAGAAAGCCACGGCUAACUACGUGCCAGCAGCCGCGGUAAUACGUAGGUGGCAAGCGUUGUCCGGAUUUAUUGGGCGUAAAGCGAGCGCAGGCGGUUUCUUAAGUCUGAUGUGAAAGCCCCCGGCUCAACCGGAGAGGGUCAUUGGAAACUGGGAGACUUGAGUGCAGAAGAGGAGAGUGGAAUUCCGUGUGUGGCGGUGAAAUGCGUAGAUAUAUGGAGGAACACCAGUGGCGAAGGCGGCUCUCUGGUAUGUAACUGACGCUGAGGCUCGAAAGCGUGGGGAGCAAACAGG
This 429-nucleotide ribosomal RNA is filed under the name Gemmatimonadota bacterium. RNAcentral's name for it is "Gemmatimonadetes bacterium partial 16S ribosomal RNA". It matches the Rfam family "Bacterial small subunit ribosomal RNA", at positions 355 to 776 of the family's 1533-position model. The record is from RNAcentral. Lineage: Bacteria; Pseudomonadati; Gemmatimonadota.